CAGUGUGUGUGAUGAGGACUAACAGCUGCCAGUCUGACAGCAGCGGCUUCCUGGAAGAGCCCUUCAUCCCUUCCAUUACCCAGCAUCCCUCACCUGGACCCGAGCUCAUGAAGGUUACACGGAUAACAUUCUAGAAGUGCAACAAUCUAGGCGUGUUACUUUAAGUUAUUGCUACUAACUUAUAUACUUCACCAGCCCAAAUUAUUAAAAUAUAUUAUUGAAUUGAUAUUCUGUCUAUUUCAUGGUGCACAAUUUAAGAGGUCAUUCAUUAAUUUAAACUGACAGUGUUUGGUUGUUGUUUAAAGGCUUUGUCGGGAAUAUCUGGAGGCAGCACUGACAGCCAGAUCACUGUAAAAGGAGCUUCACCCCCCUCGUCCCCCCCAUCCACUUCCCUGGACCCUUCCCCUCCUUCCCUCUCCAUGUGCCACCCAAGACCCGAGUCUCCUCUAUACAGACCAGAGACAACAAGCCCUACAGAGGAGACACCCAGACACCAGGAUUCCCCCACACCCCACUCCCUCCUCUCUGAUGCCUUGGAGAUGACUAACUCUGCUUUUGGAGCCAGGCCAAGCCUAAUGGAAAACACUGUCACUGAGGAAGAUGGAUUCUCUUCGGCCUGCGGUUCACCUUGUCAUAAGCCAGACUCUCCGUUACGGCACGUUAUUAUUAUCAUGAAAACAGAUAGAGAAACAGAACACUUUACUGUGGAAUCAGAGGAAGCUGUUCCAAUAGGAGGAGAGGAAAAGGACAUAGCGGAACAAAGUGGCAAUGUUCAGACAGGAACAGAGGCUGUUGGUGAUCAGGACACCGAUUGUUAUGGGUCACAUGAAGGCUCUCGGAUGAACUCGGUAGCUCUAGUGCAGAUGAAGAAAGAGACGGAGAUGAAGACGAAAGUACAGAUUAGUUCUGGUUUGGAAGGUCCAGUGUUGGGUCCUGUUGCUGUUCCUGAGGUGGUGAAUCAAGGCUCUGAGACUGGAUUUGUUUGUCAGGACCGGUACUCUGAAGAUCCUCUAUUAGGAUCUGACCCUAACUUCUCAGCAGUGCUAAGCCCUGCCUCCUCUCUCCCCCCAGCAGAGCCUCUCCCUGCCUCCUCUCUCCCCCCAGCAGAGCCUCUCUCUGCCUCCCCACCCCCAGUGCACUGGGAAACAGGUGGCUCAAAGAUUUCAGAGGGAUCCUCAAGCUUGGUUGUCCAAGAGCCUGUCCCACCACUAUAUCAACCAGCAGACCCAUCAACAGACCCACCUCCAGGCCCAGCUUUAACCUCACCUUCAGAGCAAGUGUCAUCUCCAUCCCCACCACCAUCUCUAUCCCCAGCCUCAUGGCCACACCAACCUCCAGCCUCAGCUUUUCCGGCAGCAUCCAGCUCAUCUCCAACCCAAGCCCAUUCCCCAAUCCCAAACCAUUCUCUAUCAGCCCUAACCACAACACCAACCCCAUCCUCAAUUCCAAACUCACCAUCAGCCCAUUCCUUAACCGUAGCUCCAUCUCAAGCCCCAACUCCACUCGUCCCCCACAGUGGUGCUUUCAGGUCAGGCCGGUCUGUGUCUGUCCAGAUGCCCUCCUCCCUGCCCUCUGUCUCCCACUCUGCCCUCCGGAGAGGUGGCGUCCCCCACACCCCCUCCCCGCUCGGCCCUUCCUUCGAGCCCCGCCCCCUGACUGACCUGGUGCUUCGGCAGAGGCGGAACUCCUUCUCCAGGAAGGCGUGGUCAGAUGCUGAUGUCUCCCACUUUGCAGAACACAGAAACACUGCGGUUGCCAUGGGAAAAGCAGUCAUGACACCUGAGAUGAUAUCCCUCCCGUCCCCCGUCCCCUCCCCCUCCCUGUCAUCGUCCAAUCGGUGGCUGUCUCGCGACGGUUCACGAAGAUCCGGAAGUUUCCAGAUGAAGUCCACCUCCUUGGACACGGGGCUGUGGCAGGAGGAUGAAGAAGUGGGGGAUGAGGAUAGACGGUGGGAACGAGCACUGUUCUCUGGGCUUUCCUGCUGCUGCUCCUGUGAUAACCGCUGUAGCUGCUGUUCUCAGAACAAUCACCUCAAACCAUUCUCCGUUUCAGCUUUCCCUUAUUCCCUGGAUGAGCUGGAGGGGAUGAUGCACUGUAUGAGGAAGUUCCGCUGCGUCCUGACAGACAUCGAGGAACAGCUGUCAGAAGACCAGGCCUCGGUGUACAGCUCACUCUCUGACACUGACAGAGAGGAAGUGCGAGACAUCUUGGAGCUGAGGAAAGCUGUGAAACAGGAAGCAGGAGAGUUGGAACUGCAGCUCACUGACCUGGUUCAUCGCUAUGACGACAGCUUCAAAAUGAAGAUGCACAGACUACUCGAUGAACAAUCUCACCUCUACACCCAGCUAAGGCUGAUCCCCACGACCACAUCCACCCCUGGCUCCGCCUCCUCUAGGAGCAUGGCCACUCAGUGCUGCCUGCUGCCCUGGCUGCCUUUGACGGACAUGUCCAGGCCACGCCCCUCAUCGCAGGCCACCUGGGAUUUGGAGUCCAGAUCAGCACUGCCAGAUUCCAGUUCUAUGGACCAGAGGCUAAACCAUGGUUCUACCGGCACCAAGCCAGACAAACUGGACAUUGUGGGUUUCAUCCAGAGACUGAAGGAGUCCAUACGCCACUCUGUCAAUACUGACUCACUGGAGUAAAAGAGAGAUGCUGCUUCUGCUGUAGCUAACUGAAAAUGAUCUGCUGUCUAAGUUAGUGUGUCCAAUCAACCUGGACUCGGGUAGAUGUAACAUAAUAAACGUAAAUCUGUCUCCCUCCAGUUAGUAUGAUAUGUUAGGUGUGGUAAGGUAUGUAUUUCUUUGUGGAUGUCCAUCAUCCAUUUCUUAUGUUAUAAAUAACAAUUCAUAUGAUAUGUUACGAAUUGCAAUUUGUACAAUAUGUUACGAAUUUGCGAUUAAGUAUGAUAUGUCACAAAUUCCAGUUUGAUGUGGCUAACCCUAACAUUAAAGUAGCUAACGUUAACUAGGCUAAGGGUUAGCUAACAUGCUAAGUAGUUGCAAAAAGUAGUACGUUUCAAAAUAGCUAAUUAGCCUAAAUGCUCAAGUUGUCCGUGAUGAGAUCGGAAGACGCAACCUUAGAGAUGCUAGAAGUUUGCAUUAUAUGCCCACCUAUCCAUCCAUCCCGACCCACCACCCUCCUUUCGUUUUUGCCACCCUCCUUUCGUUUUUGCCUUAUGUAACCUUACCAAACAUACCAUAUCGUAUUCAUUUGAGUGUCCUGGAUUUACGUUGACUAUGUCUAGUCUAUGAAACCAGGCUGGUGUAAUCAAUGGAUUCUAUUACUCCUAAAGUAGUCCAGUGUCCACACAGUGAAUAAAGAGCAUGAAUGCAUGAAAUCAUGUGUGCUUGUUCUAUAACGUGCCGAUCCAAUGCAUAACAUACUGUACAAAGAGUUUAUUUGUGUGUAUUGUCAUUCCCUACGUAUCAACAACAGCAUUCGUCUCAACUAAGGAUGUGUUCUUAUUCCUUAUUGUAACAUGAAGUCUCCUACUGUUACCUACCUGCAUCAAUGCUCUGGGUAAGACAGUUCCCCAUCCACAUGAGAUCCAUGCAGUAUGUGUAUGCUAUAGAGAGGAGCUCUUAUGUGUCACCCUCCUGCUCUGGGUUAUGUCAUUAUUAGCACAAAGAAAAAAAAAUGUACAUUUUUUUUUUAAUUGCAAUACAGCCUACGGUAUAUAGAGCCCCACAGUGGAAGUGUCAUAAUACCCAUAAACCUAACGGUCAAACAGGGAGUCACCUUGUCCUUGACAGAUUUAGAUUGUUAUCAAAACGCCACGCCAGGGUAAGCCUACACAACACAGCUCUUAUUUUAAGUGUUUGUAAAAUCCCCUAUGGGAAAAAUGAAUGAAUGGUGGAAAAACGAUUGCAACCAUUUCCUUGUUUGACUGCUAGGUUUUAUGGGUAUUAUGACUCAUACUGUGGUACUCUAUUGGGCCUAAAUGAAUUCUAGUUACUUUUGAAGCAAAUGUUGUGCCCUAGAAAGUAAUAUGUUUAUUAUAAAAUGUUGAAGUCAUUUGUGGAAUAUUACGUUUCUACGUUGUGUAAAAGCACUAUUUUCCUACUGAGAUGCAUUACAUAGAUAAUUGCACACUUUCCCUUCAAAAAGGUCAGGUUUGUGAUGGCAAAGUUCAAGAGAUCUGUCAUUCAACAUUGUGCUUUCAAGACAACCGGGGAAAAAACUAAGUCUAAUCAUGACGUCAGUAAUCUUCAAGUCGGAGCUCUGGAAAGUAAGUAUGGUAGCUGCAGCCCAAUCGAACCCCACAGUGGAGGUGUCAUAAUACACAUAGUGGUCAAACAGGUAAAUGGUUUAAAUCAUUUUUCCACCAUUAAUUUUUCCCAUAGGGAAUUUUAGAAACACUGUUUUGUGUAUGCUUACCAUAGCAUGACAUUUGAUAACCAUGUAAAUCUCUCCCAGACAAAGUGACUAAUCAAUAUAUUCGGCCCAAUUUACUCAGAUUUGAAAAUACUAAUUAGCAUCAAAGUAGACAUCAUGCAAGACUACAAAUCCCUGCAAGCUCCUGCAUGUCAUCUCUAUCUGACAUAUUUGCUAACAGAUAGUGUCAAUUCAAAACUUGCACAAGACAGUUCACAAAAUGUAAUUUAAAGACGUAUAGCCAAUUUAUUAAUUACUACAUUUAGCUAACAUUAGACAGUUAAUCCAGAGAUUCUUACCUUUGCCUCGAUUUGGCAGUCUUGUGUUAUGCUGACUGCAGAAAUGUCCACCGGAGGUGUUGCCAAAUAAUUCAAUGUUAAUUUCUCUACCAUAAGCCGCCUCCAAUGUUGUUUUAGAGAAUUUGGCAGUAUGUCCAACGGGCCUCACAACCACAGUCCACAUGUACCCACGCCAGCCCAGGACUUCCACAUCUGGCUUCUUCAACUGCGGGAUCGUCUGAGACCAGCCACCCAGACAGCUGAUGAAAUUGUGGGUUUGCUCAACCAAAGAAUUUCUGCACAAACUGUCAGAAACCAUCUCAGGGAAGCUCAUCUGCGUUCUCGUCGUCCUCACCAGGGUCUUGACCUGACUGCAGUUCGGCAUCAUAACCAACUCGGUGUCGUGUGGCUCAGUUGGCAGAGCAUGGUGUUUGCAAUGCCAGGGUUGUGGGUUCGAUUCCCACGGGGGACCAGUACGGAGAACAUUUUUUAUGAAAUGUAUGCAUUCACUACUGUAAGUCGCUCUGGCUAAGAGCAUCUGCUAAAUGACUAAAAUGUAAAAAUGUAAACUUCAGUGGGCAUAUGCUUACUUUCGAUGGCCACUGGCACACUGGAGAAGUGUGACCUUCAUGGAUGAAUGCCGGCGUCAACUGUACCAGGCAGAUGGCAGAAAGCGUGUAUGGUGUCGUGUGGGGGAGCAGUUUGCUGAAGUCAAUGCUGUGAACAGAGUGCCCCAUGGUGGCGGUGUGGUUAUAGUAUGGGCAGGCAUAGGGUACGGACAAUGAACGCAAUUGCAUUUUAUCGAUGGCAAUUUGAAUGCCAUUGUGGUGAAGGUAGGAAACAACAUCUCCACUUCUCUGACCCUCAACACUGGGGACCCACAAGGGUGCGUGCUCAGCCCCCUCCUGUACUCCCUGUUCACCCAUGACUGCGUGGCCAUGCACGCCUCCAACUCAAUCAUCAAGUUUGAAGAACAACAGCGACGAAACAGACUACAGGGAGGAGGUGAGGGCACUCAGUGUGGUGUCAGGAAAACAACUUCUCACUCAACGUCAACAAAACAAAGGAGAUGAUCGUGGACUUCAGGAAACAGCAGAGGGAGCACCCCCCUAUCCACAUCGAAGGGACAGCAGUGGAGAAGGUGGAAAGUUAAGUUCUUUGGUGUACACAUCACAGACAAACUGAAAUGGUCCACUCACACACAGUGUUGUGAAGAAACCUCAGGAGGCUGAAGAAAUUGGGCUUGUCACCCAAAACCAUGACAAACUUUUACAGAUGCACAAUCGAGAGCAUCCUGUCGGGCUGUAUCACAGCCUGGUACGGCAACUGCACUUCCUUCAACCGCAAGGCUUUCGAGAGGGUGGUGCGGUCUGCACAACGCAUCACCAGGGGCAAAAUUCCUGCCCUCCAUGACAGCUACAGCACCCGAUGUCACAGGAAGGCCAAAAAGAUCAUCAUGGACAUCAACCACCCGAGCCACUACCUGUUUACACAGCUACCAUCCAGAAGGCGAGGUCAGUACAGGUGCAUGAAAGCUGGGACCGAGAGACUGAAAAACAGCUUCUAUCUGAAGGCCAUCAGACUGCUAAACAGCAAUCACUAACUCCGAGUCUGCUGCCUACAUUAAACCCAAUCACUGGCCACUUUAAUAAAUGGAUCACUAGUCACUUUAUUCAAUGUACUCUAAAUAAUGCCACUUUAAUAAUGUUCACAUAUCUUACAUUACUCAUAUCACAUGUACAUACUGUAUUUUAUACCAUCUAUUGCACAUUGCCUAUGCCGCUCAGCCAUCGCUCAUCCAUAUACUUAUAUGUACAUAUUUUCAUUCACCCCUUUAGAUUUGUGUAUAUUAGGUAGUUGUUGGGGAAUUCUUAGAUUUCUUGUUAGAUAUUACUGCACUGUUGGAACUAGAAGCACAAGCAUUUCGCUACACUCACAUUAACAUCUGCUAACCAUGUGUAUGUGACAAAUACAAUUUGAUUUGUACACACUUCCUGGAAGCUGAAAUACGACUCAAACUCACCCUCUGGCUUAAAAGCAGAAGUCUAAACUCUAGUGGUACUGUACCUCAAUGUAUAUUAGUUGAGUGGUAAGAAACGGAAGGAGAAAAAAAACAAGGUGCUUUCGACAAACCCACUCCUUUCCACACUUGCACUUCUUUCCUUUCGAUGCACUCACACUCCGGUAACCAUAUUGGUAUAUAUGGUGUUAAUUCAGAUUCAAAAGUUGAACAGCUGCGAUAUGGCGCCCGUGCCUAAAAUUAAACAUAAUUGCGGGAGCAAACAAUUGAGAGAAGAACUGUGGUCGAGUGAGCAGAGGACGGUGACGCGAGUGCAGGCUAGCGUGGUGCGGGCAAAUUAAACUUGAGAGCUUGCAAGUGUGAAUGAGCGAGCAGUACUGCAUUUCUGCAUCUAGUA
This is a long non-coding RNA of Salmo trutta (river trout), 7069 nucleotides long. The record is from Ensembl. Lineage: Eukaryota; Metazoa; Chordata; Actinopteri; Salmoniformes; Salmonidae.